CAGCAGCCACGGGAAUACGGAGGGGGCCAGCGUUAAUCGGAAUUACUGGGCGUAAAGCGUGCGUAGGCGGUUCGUUAAGUCUGUUGUGAAAGCCCCGGGCUCAACCUGGGAAUGGCAAUGGAUACUGGCGAGCUAGAGUGUGUCAGAGGAUGGUGGAAUUCCCGGUGUAGCGGUGAAAUGCGUAGAGAUCGGGAGGAACAUCAGUGGCGAAGGCGACCAUCUGGGACAACACUGACGCUGAGGCACGAAAGCGUGGGGAGCAAACAGGAUUAGAUACCCGCGUAGUCCCUGUCUCUUAUAC
RNAcentral lists this ribosomal RNA (301 nucleotides) under uncultured bacterium. RNAcentral describes it as "partial 16S ribosomal RNA". It matches the Rfam family "Bacterial small subunit ribosomal RNA", at positions 509 to 807 of the family's 1533-position model. The record is from RNAcentral.